AGUUUUGCAGGUUUGCAUUUCAGCGUAUAUAUGUAUAUAUGGCUGUGCAAAUCCAUGCAAAACUGA
MicroRNA precursor from Ailuropoda melanoleuca (giant panda), 66 nucleotides. The record is from Ensembl. NCBI's taxonomy places the organism in Eukaryota, Metazoa, Chordata, Mammalia, Carnivora, Ursidae.